UCCAACGUGAAAGGUUCCUUCGGGGAACGAGUAGCGUGGCGAACGGGUGAGUAUCGCGAGGGUGACCUACCCUUUGGCGGGGGAUAAGCCGGGGAAACCCGGUCCAAUACCGAAUAACUCUCUUCAGAGAGAAAGCUUUCUAGCACCGAAGGAGGGGCCCGCGUCCGAUUAGCUGGUUGGGGAGGUAAGGGCUCACCAAGGUAACAACCGGUAACCGGGCUGAAAGGACGGGCGGACACACUGGGACUGAAACACGGCCCAGACUCCUACGGGAGGCUAGCAGUGGGGAAUCUUGGGCAAUGGGCGAAAGCCUGACCCAGCGACGCCGCGUGGAGGACGAAGGCCCUCGGGUCGUAAACUCCUGUUCUUGGGGAAGAGAAUGACGGGACCCAUGGAGCAUGCCCCGGCUAACUCCGUGCCAGCAGCCGCGGAAAUACGGGGGGGGCAAGCGUUGCUCGGAAUUGCUGGGCGUAAAGGGCUGCGUACGCGGUUUCGGAAGUCUGAGGUGAAAGUCCCCGGCUCAACCGGGGGAGGACCUCAGAAACCACGGAGCUUGAGAGCUGGAGAGGGAAGCGGAAUUCCCGGUGGAGCGGUGAAAUGCUGACAUAUCAGGAGGAACAUCGGAUGAUAAUGCGGCUUCCUGGAGAGCAUCUGACGCUUAGGUGCGAAAGCUAUGAGAGCGAACGACAUUAGAUACCCCGG
RNAcentral lists this ribosomal RNA (702 nucleotides) under uncultured marine bacterium. RNAcentral's name for it is "bacterial SSU rRNA". It matches the Rfam family "Bacterial small subunit ribosomal RNA", at positions 62 to 790 of the family's 1533-position model. The record is from RNAcentral.